This 346-nucleotide ribosomal RNA is filed under the name uncultured bacterium. Its description in RNAcentral is "partial 16S ribosomal RNA". It matches the Rfam family "Bacterial small subunit ribosomal RNA", at positions 338 to 681 of the family's 1533-position model. The record is from RNAcentral.
CCUACGGGAGGCAGCAGUGAGGAAUAUUGGUCAAUGGACGAGAGUCUGAACCAGCCAAGUAGCGUGAAGGAUGACUGCCCUAUGGGUUGUAAACUUCUUUUAUAGGGGAAUAAAAUGUUCCACGUGGGGGAUUUUGUAUGUACCAUAUGAAUAAGGAUCGGCUAACUCCGUGCCAGCAGCCGCGGUAAUACGGAGGAUCCGAGCGGUAUGCGGCUUGAUUGGGUUUAAAGGGAGCGUAGGGGGAUUGUUAAGUCAGUUGUGAAAGUUUGCGGCUCAACCGUAAAAUUGCAGUUGAAACUGGCAGUCUUGAGUACAGUCGAGGUGGGCUGAUUUCGUGUUGUCGCGG